UUAGAUCACCGAAGUUAAGUAUCAUUGGGCGCGGUCAGUACUUGGGUGGGUGACCACCUGGGAACACUGCGUGCCGUU
Caerostris darwini is the source of this 78-nucleotide non-coding RNA. Lineage: Eukaryota; Metazoa; Arthropoda; Arachnida; Araneae; Araneidae. The record is from the annotation of a GenBank genome assembly.